This 1525-nucleotide long non-coding RNA is filed under the name Macaca fascicularis (crab-eating macaque). RNAcentral's name for it is "lncRNA (ENSMFAG00000058538.1)". The record is from RNAcentral. Lineage: Eukaryota; Metazoa; Chordata; Mammalia; Primates; Cercopithecidae.
UUCCAGUAUUUUAUUUUUUUUAAAAAAUUAGUUUUUACCAAUUAUGUUUGUUUUGCUGUGGAGCAGGUCUGUGCAACUUCUCAAGCUGCCAUUUUCAAAGGGGAGCUCCAGUUUCUAUAUUUUAAGUACAGAAAGAAGGAAAAGUUUUCUGAAGUAAUUGGAGUAAAGAAUUCUCCUAGAUUUUUACAUUUUAUUCCAACAGUUAUGAUAAACAUAAAACAAAUACUGAAACUUUACAAAGUGUUAGGCAUUGUCCUGAGUGCUUAGAAAAUAUUAAUAUAUUUAGUCCUUCGUAAGAUACACAUUGUUUUACUUUCCUCAUCUUGUAGAUGAGAACAUAGGCCCCAAAAGCUUCAGAAAUUUUCUCAGGUCACACAGCUAAGUGGAAAAGCAAGGUUUAAACAAAGGAAAAUUAACUUCACAGACUGUAUUUUUUUAUUUCACUUUUUUCCCUAGAAAUAGAUACUUAAAAUUUGGUUCAUAAUGUAAGUAAAUUUUUAAGUAGUUUUCACUUAGUAUUAAAAAGUAGUCUUUUUUUACCUUAAAUAUUGUUUAAAUGUAAUUUCCAAUGCCUGCAUAAUCUUGUUCCAUACUGCCAAUUUACUUUUCACUUUCACAGCAGAUAGCUCAGCUGUCUCAUUACCUCCUCAUCCUCACUGAAAACAAUAUUCUUUUUUUAAAAAAAGUUUCAAUCUCUUUGUAAAGUCUUUUCUCUUAUGGUUGGUUUAUUUUAUAUUUACACUCUAUUUUUACAUUUGUUUCAUUACAAAGUGCAGUAGUUCCCUGGAGACACAGUGGCAAAUUACCACAAACUGGGGGAACAAAAAACAACAAAAAUGUUCCUCUCAUAGUUCUGGGGGCCAGAAGCUCAAAAUCACUUUCACUGGGCUGAAAUCAAAGUGCCAGCUGGGCCAGGGUCCCUCCAAUGGUUCCAGGAGGUAAUCCUUUCCUUGUUCUUCAAGCUUUUGGUGGCUUCAGGUGUUCCUUAGCUUGUGACCACGUCACUCUAAUCUAUGCCUCCACAGUCCAACUGCCUCACCAUCUUCUGUCUUAAAAACUCCCUCUACCACUCUAAGGACCCACCAAGAUAAUGCAGGGUAAGUCCCUCUUCUCCAGAUUUUUAACUGAUUUAUUUUGCUAUAUACAGUAAUAUUCGCUAUUUUGCCAUAUAAGGUGAUAAGAAUAUACUUGAGAUAUAUACCAAAUGUGAUCCUUAGCACAUUCAUUUUCUUCCUGUUACAUCCUAGACAAAUGCCAUAAAGCUGCAAAUUUUAAGCUGUAGCUCUGAGGCACCUCAGAGACACACAGUUUAAAAAUCACUAUCAACCAAUCAAUAUCCAGAAUAAUUAAUUCCCCCUUAUAAGAGAAUUAUCUAAGUCACAGUUUAAAAUACGGCAUUAAAAUCUAAGUAGUAUGUUUUUGCCUAAUCCAAACAUUUCUUUAAAAGAAAAAUAACUCCUACUGGGGCUACAAUGUGACAUAAUAAAAAAUAGUAAUAAUUUUUAAAAAUAACAUGGUACCCUUC